AAAAAGGUAUGCAUGCGCCCGAUUUUCGCCGUUACAUGUUGCAGCCUAAUUUUGGAUCGAGAAUUAUGUGCGACGAAGAUGGCCGUUAAUACUAGUUCUACUACUUUAAGAACACGGGUCAGAUUUGGACAAUGACUUCGAAGGCAUUCGCAGUAGACCAAACAGAGAAAGAGAGAGACACAAAACCACCUGUCUCGGUGUCACACAUGAGGAGUUGAGGAGGAGAUGAAGUCGGUGAAUAUGACCUGGCCUGGGGGAGUUUCCAGAAGAAGGCCCAGAAUCGCCGGAUGCCAGGAGUGGAGAUCCUUCGUUGCUGCCCUACAUGCUAGGAGGCAUCGGGCAGUAGAUGCUGUAAUUUGAAACGGAAGGUGUCCUGCCAAUAAAUUUUCAUCCUACCUGAACUGCCUUGCCUGCCUGCACCCAGUCAUCUGUUCCUGAGCAUUUUCUAUUUUUCAUUAUCGUUCGUUUCGGCCUGUAUUGAAUUGAAUUACACAUUGAUUGGUGGAGCUGCUAAGUUGGCAUUACAGGGCCACACCGGGGUAUGAUCCUUGGGGUUGAACAUCAUGACUGCUAGUUGGUCGGCGAAGGUGAUGCGAUCGAUCAAUGUCGCAUGGAGUAAGAUCGAUACCAAUCUGCUUUGCUACAUUUCGAACAAUCUCAUACGGAUACGGAUAUUAUUGCGACAGGAGUACUGCUCGAUGUGGUCAAGCCUAUUUGACAAAGCAUUAUGGUGUUAGUCAUCUUAUCAGAAACCGAUUUUUCAAAAUCACGGAGUUGCUUCAAUUUGGUAUCGAUAGAUAUUUCAAGAACGUUCCAUUGCCACGGCCACCGCUCUUUGAACGACUGUAUCAAUAUGAUCUAGGUAUGCUGGGCUUUGUUUAGAUCCAGUUAAUGAUUAAGCAGAGGAUUGUGUACAUGCGUUAGCCGAGUGCAAGCGGCCUCUUGAUCUGGUGGAUAUCUUAGACAUGUUAGAGAUUACGUAAUGAUGUAAUUGAAAAGUGGGAUGGGCUGUGCAUCUGCCAACUCACCAGUCAACCAAUUAGAGACGGCCUUCCAAAGUGACACAGCACGAAAAUAUCAAUACGGGACUGGUCUAGUCAACACAUCGAUCCUAAAAAAACCAUGGAGACCGCAGACGCAAAAUGACUUCCAUACAUAAAGAUAUGAUGCACAAUUUCCAGUGGGUUCAAAACACUGAACACAUGCUAUGCUGAUACACAGACUAUCAUAAGAACUUUAUCAAGCAUAGGAAAUCUGGUAUGAAAUCUCUCAGCUCACAUAAAAAGCCUACGUAGCUACAUGUAGGGAAGAAAAUGCAUAAUUGCUGAGAAAUGAGCAAAAUAAGCAUGUAAUUCUAUCAAAUGUCAGGUAUUUUUUAAUCGAUUAUAAUACACUGUCCCACAAACGCUUUUCUGUGUUUAUAGCGAUCAUCAGAAUUAUCGAUUUAAGUUUAAAAAUUCAUGACUUUACAAAGAUACAAGUUUACAUUAAUGUACCAGAUGUAGAUUAUGUACAAUAUAUUGACAAUUAACUUUGAUUUUAUAGAUUUCCUCAAGACAUAAUUGUUUGCUGCAACUACUGUCUUUUCCUUCUAAGUGAUAUUGUAAUACAACAGUUCCACAAACUAAUUUCAUCAGACUUAUUAAUGUAUGAUUCUUUCACCCAAAUGCAAGCUUCCAUAAAUCCUGAAAACUUUGCAACUCAGCAACUCAGGUAUUUUUUUUUUACAUACAGUAUAUUUUUUCCUACAUUACAUAGUUGCCUUAAGUUAAUAACCCACCUCUAGUAGUAACUAUCUUAAAAUGAGUUCGAACAGAAUCCAACAGAAUUACCAGCAAAGUGUAUGUAUAUAUAAAAGAUGUGUGCCAAAUAGCUCGGGAAGAAAAUGUGUAAUUGCUGAGAAAUUAGCAAAAUAAGCAUGUAAUUCUAUCAAAUGUCGGGUAUUUUUCGAAUCAAUCAUAAUACACUGUCCUGUCCCACAUAUGCUUUUCUGUGUUAGUGAUCAUCAGAAUGAUUGAUUUUACAUGUAAGUUCAAAAUUCAUGGUUUUACAAAGAUACAAGUUUACAUUAAUUUACCAGGGCCCCGUCUUACAAAGAGUUAUGGUUGAUCCGAUCAAUCGCAACUAUGAACGGUCAGCAACGUUAACAUCUAUUAAGCAUGUUUGUUCAAAAUAUUUUCUAGCUAUGAUGUAUGUCCAUGCCUUCAUUGUUUUCUCAAAAUUCGCUGCACUUCUCUUUGCAUAUAAAGGACAUUGUGCGAACUUCUCUUAGAAAAAAAUUAUGACACUGAUGGAUUUCCAUAGAGUUAUGAUUGAUCGGAUCAAUCUUAACUCUUUGUAAGACGGGGCCCAGAUCUAGAUUAUGUACAAUAUUUUGACAAUUAACCUUAAUUUAAAAGACUUUCCGAAGAAAUAAUUGUUUGCUGCAACUACUGUCUUUUACCCCUAAGUGAUAGUGUAAUACAACCCAAACUUUUCAUAAGAAUUAAUGUACAUGUAUGAUUCUUUCACCCAAAUGCAAGCUUCCAUAAAUCCUGAAAUUAUUCCAACUCAGGUAUUAUUUUUUUUACAUACAGUAUAUUUUUACCUACAUUAAAUAGUUGUCUAAAGUUGAAGGUAUAUUUAAUUACAAUUUCAACGAAAAAGCUUUAUUCUUGGAGAUCAUUAUGCCUCUGUUGUGUAUUAAUGUGUAUUUAUACAAUUGUAUGUAUUGGUAUACCAAACAUUGUAAUUUCAUUCCUUUGACCCUAAUACUGCAUUUUCAUAGAAAAGUGUUUUUUUUUUUCAAUCUAUUUAGAGUUUUCAACUUUUUGUUUUCCUUUUUUUUUUGCUGGUAAUAUCAUGUUAUGCAACUUUUAUUUAUUAAUAGAAUAUUUGCCACGAUUUCGUAAUUGAAA
Long non-coding RNA from Lytechinus pictus (painted urchin), 2897 nucleotides. RefSeq lists it as uncharacterized. The transcript is spliced from 3 exons. The record is from RefSeq and is a predicted model, not a curated record. NCBI's taxonomy places the organism in Eukaryota, Metazoa, Echinodermata, Echinoidea, Temnopleuroida, Toxopneustidae.